Molecule: ribosomal RNA, 253 nt
Filed under: uncultured bacterium
Lineage: Bacteria
Description: partial 16S ribosomal RNA
Rfam family: Bacterial small subunit ribosomal RNA
Source: RNAcentral
UACGUAGGCAGCGAGCGUUGUUCGGAGUUACUGGGCGUAAAGAGUGCGUAGGCGGUUUUUUAAGUUUGGUGUGAAAUCUCCCGGCUCAACUGGGAGGGUGCGCCGAAGACUGGAAGGCUUGAGUAUGGGAGAGGUAAGCGGAAUUCCUGGUGUAGCGGUGAAAUGCGUAGAUAUCAGGAGGAACACCUGCGGUGUAGACGGCUUACUGGACCAUAACUGACGCUGAGGCACGAAAGCGUGGGUAGCAAACAGG